Callithrix jacchus (white-tufted-ear marmoset) is the source of this 5878-nucleotide non-coding RNA. The record is from RefSeq and is a predicted model, not a curated record. NCBI's taxonomy places the organism in Eukaryota, Metazoa, Chordata, Mammalia, Primates, Cebidae.
CCUGCAGCAGGCUCGGAGGCUGGAGAGGCAGCUGGCAGCAGCGGAUGACACUGAAGCCAGCGGCGGCAGGAUAGGUAUGGGCAAAUCUGGGCCAGAGGCUCUCAGGCCCCGAAACCUCAGGCCCAGGAUGACCUGGUGCUUCAGUGCUCCUCAGCCCAUAAGCUCAGGGACAGGGCUGCAGCACGACUGGCCAUACACAUGCAUGACCAAGGGAAGAGAGAAGGAACUCCAUGACCUCACACCCCGACCCCAUGAGUGCUUGGCUGCAUCCCUGUCUUAAUUCCUUGCCAGUGCCAUUGAGUUUAUGUUAUAGAGAGCACAGUCCCUUGUUACUUCAUGGCUCAUGAAACAUCACCACGUAGGUGCUAUGACACUCAUCUUAGAGUGGGGAACUCGAUGGUCGGCAUGUUAAAUGAGUUGCCCAUCUGGGGCCCUCUAGCUAGUUAGCUGCAAAGCCUGAAUCUCCUGAGUCCUCAAUCCCUUCCCACCUCAUUCUGCAGCAAUCUUCCACUUCCCACAAAUAAAUGCAAAAAAAGGAGCCCAUCCCAUGACGACACCUCCCCCAUGACCCUGAUACAAGGAAAGGCAAGGAGAAGUAGCAGUGGCAUCUUCCUGGAGUUUAUCUUGCUCUUUCUAGAAAUUACUCUCUGCCCACAAAAAAAAAAAAAAAAAAAAAGAACCAGGGUCAGAAUUGACUUGAGUUUGAAGACCUGCCCCACAGUUUAUUAAUUCUUUGACCUUGGGCAAGUUAUUAAUGCUAAUCCCUCCCUGUCACUGUUUUACAGUCUUUUAAAAGGAAGAGUAAAAUCAUGCGUACUGGCCAGGUGUGGUAGCUCAUGACUGUAAUCACAUCACUUUGGGAGGUCGAGGCAGGUGGAUUGCUUGAGGUCAGGAGCUCGAGACCAGCCUGAUCAAUAUGGUGAAACUCCAUAUCUACUAAAAAUACAAAAAAUAGCCAGGCAUGGUGGCGGGAGCCUGUAAUCUCAGCUAUUUGGAAGGCUGAGGCAGAAGAAUCACUUGAACCGAGGAGGUGGAAGUUGGAGUGAGCUGAGAUCACAUCAUUGUACUCCAGUCUGGGUGACACAGUGAGACUCCAUCUCAAAAAAAAAAAAUAGUGCAUACUUUAUAGCUUGACUUGUAGGACUGAGUAAAAUACAACUUCUGUGGAGUUCUGAGUUCAGAUUCUGAUAAAUGGCAGGUGCUCAAGAACACAAGCCCCCUCCUUUGAGAAGAUGUUCUCAGCUUCUCAAAAGGUCUGAUGCCACUCAGUUCCCACUUGCUUCUUCCAAAGCAGGCCAUUGAGGCAUUGUCCUUUCUUCCCUUCUGAAUUCAGAAUGCUAAGUUGGGCCCAAAGGAAAUCAAUGCAGUGUUUGCCGGGAACUCCCUCUGGUCAGGGAUGUAGUACUUUGAACCCGGAAAGACUUCCAGGGUGAUGCUAAACCCUCAACUCCUCCUCUUCACUCCCCCUCCCCCUGGUACUAGGAAUGAUGCACUAUCCCAGGACAGAGCUGUGGGCCCCAGCCCUGUAUGAAAUGGAGAUCCCAGAUCCUGAGGGUUCAGGGCUCAUGGUGCCCAUCCUGGGCAUGGAGCAUGAUGAGAAUUCGGGCGAUGCCACACCUCUGGCAGGCUCAACAGCAAAGCUCUAGUUUCUAAAGCCAGCGAUGGGCUUGGCUUCCACAGGUCUUAUCCCAAUUUCAAUCGGGGCUCAAGCCAUAGACCUCUUGACUGGGGAGCCUGGUCCCGUCACUGGAGCUCAAAGGGAUCCCUCUUCCAGAGUGGUGGUGCCCAUUGUCCAGGUGCUGGAGUCCUUACCUCGAGGAGUGAGAGACCCUGGUCUGCUGGAUGUCCUGGAGCGGGAGCUGAGGGCCCGGGAGCAGUACUGGCACCACCAGGAACAGGAGGAGGAGAUGCUACUGGAUCACCUGGGGCACCUGAGCCAGGAGCUCCACUUCACUGCAGGCAAUGGCAUGGAGCAGCAGCCCUGGAGUCCCACUGCCUGCAGGAGACGGAGAGAAGAGCCAGGGCUCUGAGCACACACAGCAGCCCAGUGUGGGGCCUGCUCUCUCAAGGUGGUUCAUCGUCUCUCUGAUGAGUUUCGAGGGCUGAUGAGGGAGAGACAGAACUUCCUGGCUAGGGCCCUGGGUCAGCUACGGUACCGACGGGAAUGGAGCCGCCUCCAGAUCCUGCACACCCAGACGACUGCCUCAGGAAGCCCUGUGUGUUUGGAGAAUUACCCUGGACACAUAUUCUAUGCAACAGUCACAACUUCUGUCAGGGACCGGGCCACUGCCUGUCCCGUGUUGAUCCCUUUCCUGAAGCAACUCACUGCAGCUCAAGGGCUGGAGGAUCAGAGGCCAGGAACAGGUCAGGCUGGUCCCUACUCCAGCGUUGCCUCCUGCUGCCAAUCCUGGCCAUGUUUCGUUUCUUUGGGCUAAAGAUCUGGAUGCAGCAUAGCUGGAUGCAUCUGGCCCAGGGUCUCCACAAGCUACAAGUAGGCCAGGACUGCAGUCAUCUCAAGGCUUGACUGCAGGAGGAUGGAGGAUUCACUUCCGAGCUCACUCUUGUGGCUAUUGGUAGACCCCAAGUCCUCGUUGGCUGUUGGCCAGAGACAACAACUCCUGCCACAAGAUCUUCGUGGGCAGCUCACAACAUGGCAGCUGGCUGCUCUCAGAGCAAGCAGGCCAGAGAGUGAGAGAGGAUACAGAUAAAGCUAACAUCAUCUGGGCUUCACCAUUCUUCUCCAUCCUGAAGAAAACAGAUAAUCUGGCCCCAAGACCACAAGGAAGACACUGAACUGCAAAAACAAGUGUAUCACAAACCAGACCCAAAGAGCUCUUUACAGUAUCUUCGAAAACCUCAAACAGUGCAGAAGGAAGAGCUGAUACCUGUGCAACCCAUUGGCCUUUCUGCCAGGGAGUUUGUGGCCUCUCCAUCCUGCACCUCCUCAUCCCCCCGCUUCGUGCUCCAGAAAUCACCCUGAAGAUUGCUUCUCAUCUUCCUGCCAUGGAAGCCCAAGGAAGUGCCUUCCAAGAUGACUUCUUCUAUCAGAGUGCUGAGAACACACUGUUCAUUGGGAGAGAGUGCCUGGCCUCUGUGGGAAGCUUUGUUCUGCUGCUGAUCCACUGCCUGGCCCACAUCACUGCUGGGGAACCCUACCAGGACUCCAGCCCUGCCUUUCUGGGGUCAUUUUACAAGGGCCUGAAGGCCUAUCAGGGAAGCAUUCUCUAACACACUGAGAAUGUCAGCAGUUUCCAGGGACAAUAAACUUGAACAAAGCAUAAGCACUAUUCUGCUGGAAGAGCAGCCCAUCUCUGAAAGGGAGAGAUCUUCUGUCUAAACUAAUCGAAAUGAGGCAUGCAUCUCCCUUGGAGCCAGAAUCAUUAGAAGAGAUGAGGAAACUGAAGCCUAGAAGUGUUUUUAAAAAACUUGCUUAAGAUAUAGCAACAGCUGUGGAGCAGGAACGUUAGUCAUCCAACAACCACCAUCUAUGAAGACAUCUCACUUUAUUUUAAAAGAAAAAUUGUACAUAGUACUCUCAGGUCCACAUUGUAGCUAAGAAGAUCCAAGGGUACUUAAAAUAAAUGGUAAGAAGAGUAUUAACUCCUCCACAUUCUCUAUCGUAUAUUAAGAAAAACAAAGAUCUUCUGCUCUUCACCAAUAUGGAACAUUUCCUAAAAAGCAUCCUUGCAGAAGAACAACGAAUCCUAAGAAAACCAAGAAAUCAAUUUGGGAGUGAAGAUAAGAUGAGAUCCCCUAUGAUCAACAGCAUUAAGAUGAUAGUUAGCUAUAUGCCAACUAUUUAUUACUGUGUUUGGGCCAUAUUUAUAACUGAACAUGUCCACAGAACAAAAGGUUGGAAAUCAGUGAUGGUAUGAAUAAGUGACAUCACUUCCUUUGAGAGCUUCCCCAAUACCAGAUGAGAGGGUAGAUCUCAGAUUUCAGAAAAGACCCUAGAGAGAAAAGAGUUCAUCCAUUUCCCUUCAGGCAGGUAACAUAUUAAACCUAGAGAGAAGGAAUUGAGGAUCAGGCUUGCCCCCAUUCAUCAAGCUGGAGGAGAACAAAAAGUAGCGAGGACAUGGAUCCACUGUCUUCUCAUUCAGGGUUUCCUCCACUAUACCACGAUGAUACCAACUGCUGUUUUACAAAAGUUUGUUUUUAAUCCUAAGCAUUUAGUAUGUUGUAUCUUCAAGAAUCAAAUGUUUUGGCUCCAAAUCAUCACUAAUAUUUUGUAAGGUCAAUGGAUAAUAUUAGCAAACAGAGAAUCCCAAAGUCUUCACCCUCCUUGUGCGCAGUAGGGAUCCAACACGUCAAGAUCAAGAUCAGAAACUAGCAACCUAGAGAAAUAACCAGGCACUGACUCCUCCUGGGUCCCAAUCCACUUUAUUUAAAGUUAUUGCCAGUAUAGGGUAUGAAAACUUUUAAACCUUUAUUAAAAUAACAGCUUUAAAAGUGAACAGAUAAUAAAUUUAUACGUCAAUGAAUUGGCCAAUAUGAAUACUCCCAUAUAAGUAGCCCCAGAUCAAGAAAUAAAACAUGACCGGUUCUCCAGAAGUACCUUAUGCCUCCUUCUAGUCACUUCUUUCAAGAUAGAGUAACCACCAUCCUGACUUCAAACAUCAUAGUUUUUGCUUAUUCAUGAACUUCAUAUAAAUGGAACCAUAAGAUAUGAGUUACUUUAUUGCUUAUUUUGCUCCACUUUCUGAGAGUCAUCCACAUUGUGGCAUGCAGUCGUAGUUUGUUGAUUCUCUUUGCUGAAAACUAUUCCAUUGUGUGGAUACAUCACUAGUUACUCAUUCAACUGCUGAUGUAUAUGUGGGUAUUUCCCAGCUUGGGAUUAUUACAAAACAGCCUUGUACAACUUCUGGUGAUGAUAUGUAACUAUAGUUUGCCAAGUACAUACUUAGGACUAGAAAUCCUGGGUCUUAGGACAUGGAUAUGUUCAGUGUUAGUAGAUACUACCAGCUAGAGUUCUGAAAUAUUUACUGCUGCCAGCAGUGAAGGGUUCUGGUUGCUUUCCAUUUCUAUCAGCAGUUAGCAUCUUAAGUCUUUUUUUUUACUAUUUUUUCUUGUGUGUGGUAUUCUCAAUGUAGUUUUAAAUUUCUCUGACAACCAAUGAAACUGAGCAUCUUUCAUGCUGUUAUACCAUUUAGAUAUCCUCUCUUGUAAAGUACCUAUUCCAGUCUUUUGCCCAUUUUCCAUUAGAUUGCACCUAUUUUAUUCUUGAUUUGUAGGAAUUAUUUAUUCUGCAAUUAUAUCCCCCAUUUUGUGGACUUUUUAUAAAAAUGACAACACUUAUCUUUUUUCAUUUCAUUUUUAGAUCUAGAAAGAAAAUGGUAAUCUCAUUUCAGUCUGCAUGGUCAAAAGGUAUUAAAUACAUAAGUACAACAUCUGAUGAAGCUGAUAAGAAUUAUUGAAAAAUCUAUAAUAUUCAUGGUAAAUCACAUAAAUGUAUAUUGUAGUUUUCAGUGUCUAUAUAAUACGGACUAGUAUUUGCCACAAAAGUUGAGGACUCCUGCUCACUAUGACCAAAAUUUUUAGUGUGACUAAAAGUUUAGAUCACAUAUCUUAUUAAAGUAUCUAUUAAUGAUAUUGACUAAAACUCGAGAAAUGUAAAAUUUGUAUAUGCCAUCAUUCAACCAGGCUAAGGUUAUUACUGAAUCACAAAGCAGAUGGAUAUAUGUGUACAGUAGUUGGUGAUCUAGAAUGUGUACUUAAAAUAUAGGCCAUGUCACACAAAAUUCACUUUGGAGGCCCUGGUUGAAACACCACAAAGAGAUAAGCAGUCAUCUGAAAGUGAAGUUUUGGAGUGCUGAUCAGGAGACACAGCACCAUUACAUGAAUUUAAGUAAAAAAAAAAAAAAAAAAGCUCAAAUACAAA